This 497-nucleotide ribosomal RNA is filed under the name uncultured bacterium. Its description in RNAcentral is "partial 16S ribosomal RNA". It matches the Rfam family "Bacterial small subunit ribosomal RNA", at positions 28 to 507 of the family's 1533-position model. The record is from RNAcentral.
GAUGAACGCUGGCGGCGUGCCUAAUACAUGCAAGUCGAGCGAACAGACGAGGAGCUUGCUCCUCUGACGUUAGCGGCGGACGGGUGAGUAACACGAGGAUAACCUACCUAUAAGACUGGGAUAACUUCGGGAAACCGGAGCUAAUACCGGAUAAUAUAUUGAACCGCAUGGUUCAAUAGUGAAAGACGGUUUUGCUGUCACUUAUAGAUGGAUCCGCGCCGCAUUGGCUAGUUGGUAAGGUAACGGCUUACCAAGGCAACGAUGCGUAGCCGACCUGAGAGGGUGAUCGGCCACACUGGAACUGAGACACGGUCCAGACUCCUACGGGAGGCAGCAGUAGGGAAUCUUCCGCAAUGGGCGAAAGCCUGACGGAGCAACGCCGCGUGAGUGAUGAAGGUCUUCGGAUCGUAAAACUCUGUUAUUAGGGAAGAACAAAUGUGUAAGUAACUAUGCACGUCUUGACGGUACCUAAUCAGAAAGCCACGGCUAACUACGUG